RNAcentral lists this transfer RNA (72 nucleotides) under Schistosoma mansoni. The record is from RNAcentral. Lineage: Eukaryota; Metazoa; Platyhelminthes; Trematoda; Strigeidida; Schistosomatidae.
CUCAGUAGCUAAGUGGAUAACGCGAUGGCAUUUGAAGCGAACGGUACUGGGUUCGAGUCCCUGAUUGGACAU